This 253-nucleotide ribosomal RNA is filed under the name uncultured bacterium. Its description in RNAcentral is "partial 16S ribosomal RNA". It matches the Rfam family "Bacterial small subunit ribosomal RNA", at positions 524 to 776 of the family's 1533-position model. The record is from RNAcentral.
UACGUAGGGUGCAAGCGUUAACCGGAAUUACUGGGCGUAAAGCGUGCGCAGGCGGUUUUGUAAGUCUGACGUGAAAUCCCCGGGCUCAACCUGGGAAUUGCGUUGGAGACUGCAAGGCUAGAAUCUGGCAGAGGGGGGUAGAAUUCCACGUGUAGCAGUGAAAUGCGUAGAGAUGUGGAGGAACACCGAUGGCGAAGGCAGCCCCCUGGGUCAAGAUUGACGCUCAUGCACGAAAGCGUGGGGAGCAAACAGG